This 322-nucleotide ribosomal RNA is filed under the name uncultured eukaryote. RNAcentral describes it as "partial 18S ribosomal RNA". It matches the Rfam family "Eukaryotic small subunit ribosomal RNA", at positions 1470 to 1796 of the family's 1831-position model. The record is from RNAcentral.
CCCUUAGAUGUUCUGGGCCGCACGCGUGCUACACUGAGUAAUUCAAUGGGUAAGGGAACGCUAGAGCAUUACCUAAUCUUGAAAUUUGCUCGUGAUGGGGAUCGACGGUUGCAAUUUUCCGUCGUGAACGAGGAAUACCUUGUAGGCGCAUGUCAUCAUCAUGCGCCGAAUACGUCCCUGCCCUUUGUACACACCGCCCGUCGCUCCUACCGAUUGAGUGAUCCGGUGAGGCUCUGGGACCUGGACGGAAAAAGCGUUUCGCUUGUUCUGUUUGGGAAACUUGGUCGAACCUUAUCAUUUAGAGGAAGGAGAAGUCGUAACA